This 496-nucleotide ribosomal RNA is filed under the name uncultured bacterium. Its description in RNAcentral is "partial 16S ribosomal RNA". It matches the Rfam family "Bacterial small subunit ribosomal RNA", at positions 28 to 506 of the family's 1533-position model. The record is from RNAcentral.
GAUGAACGCUGGCGGCGUGCCUAAUACAUGCAAGUCGAGCGAACAGAUGAGGAGCUUGCUCCUCUGACGUUAGCGGCGGACGGGUGAGUAACACGUGGAUAACCUACCUAUAAGACUGGGAUAACUUCGGGAAACCGGAGCUAAUACCGGAUAAUAUAUUGAACCGCAUGGUUCAAUAGUGAAAGACGGUUUUGCUGUCACUUAUAGAUGGAUCCGCGCCGCAUUAGCUAGUUGGUAAGGUAACGGCUUACCAAGGCAACGAUGCGUAGCCGACCUGAGAGGGUGAUCGGCCACACUGGAACUGAGACACAGUCCAGACUCCUACGGGAGGCAGCAGUAGGGAAUCUUCCGCAAUGGGCGAAAGCCUGACGGAGCAACGCCGCGUGAGUGAUGAAGGUCUUCGGAUCGUAAAACUCUGUUAUUAGGGAAGAACAAAUGUGUAAGUAACUAUGCACGUCUUGACGGUACCUAAGCAGAAAGCCACGGCUAACUACGU